CCUACGGGAGGCAGCAGUGAGGAAUAUUGGUCAAUGGACGAGAGUCUGAACCAGCCAAGUAGCGUGAAGGAUGACUGCCCUAUGGGUUGUAAACUUCUUUUAUAUGGGAAUAAAACGUUCCACGUGUGGGAUUGUGUAUGUACCAUAUGAAUAAGGAUCGGCUAACUCCGUGCCAGCAGCCGCGGUAAUACGGAGGAUCCGAGCGUUAUCCGGAUUUAUUGGGUUUAAAGGGAGCGUAGGUGGAUUGUUAAGUCAGUUGUGAAAGUUUGCGGCUCAACCGUAAAAUUGCAGUUGAAACUGGCAGUCUUGAGUACAGUAGCGGUGUGCGGACUUCGUGGUGUAGCUGU
This 347-nucleotide ribosomal RNA is filed under the name uncultured bacterium. RNAcentral's name for it is "partial 16S ribosomal RNA". It matches the Rfam family "Bacterial small subunit ribosomal RNA", at positions 338 to 682 of the family's 1533-position model. The record is from RNAcentral.